GGCUCUGUGGUGCAACGGAUAGCACUUUAGACUUCUAAGCUAAAGGUUGUGGGUUCAAGUCCCACCAGAGUCA
Gavialis gangeticus (Gharial) is the source of this 73-nucleotide non-coding RNA. Lineage: Eukaryota; Metazoa; Chordata; Crocodylia; Gavialidae. The record is from the annotation of a RefSeq genome assembly.